RNAcentral lists this ribosomal RNA (700 nucleotides) under Pseudoanungitea vaccinii. Its description in RNAcentral is "partial large subunit ribosomal RNA". It matches the Rfam family "Eukaryotic large subunit ribosomal RNA", at positions 101 to 822 of the family's 3401-position model. Lineage: Eukaryota; Fungi; Ascomycota; Dothideomycetes; Venturiales; Cylindrosympodiaceae. The record is from RNAcentral.
GCAACAGCUCAAAUUUGAAAUCUGGCUCCUUCGGGGUCCGAGUUGUAAUUUGUAGAGGGUGCUUCGAGCGAAGCCCCGGCCCAAGUCCCUUGGAACAGGACGUCAGAGAGGGUGAGAACCCCGUGUCCGGCCGGCGGCGCUCCUCGUGUGAAGCCCCUUCGACGAGUCGAGUUGUUUGGGAAUGCAGCUCUAAAUUGGUGGUAAAUUCCAUCUAAAGCUAAAUACCGGCCAGAGACCGAUAGCGCACAAGUAGAGUGAUCGAAAGAUGAAAAGCACUUUGAAAAGAGAGUUAAAAAGUACGUGAAAUUGUUGAAAGGGAAGCGCUUGCGGCCAGACUUGCCCGCGGAGGUUCAGCCCGUCUUCUGGCGGGUGCACUCCUUCGCGGUCAGGCCAGCAUCGGUUUGGGCGGUCGGACAAAGGCCUUGGGAACGUAGCCCCCUCCGGGGGGUGUUAUAGCCCUCGGUGCAAUGCGGCCAGCCCGGACCGAGGAUCGCGCUCUGCUAGGAUGCUGGCGUAAUGGCUGUAAGCGGCCCGUCUUGAAACACGGACCAAGGAGUCUAACAUCUAUGCGAGUGUUUGGGUGUCAAACCCGUGCGCGUAAUGAAAGUGAACGGAGGUGGGAGCCUUAGGGUGCACCAUCGACCGAUCCUGAUGUCUUCGGAAGGAUUUGAGUAAGAGCAUAGCUGUUGUGACCCGAAAG